AACGAACGCUGGCGGCAUGCCUAACACAUGCAAGUCGAACGAGACCUUCGGGUCUAGUGGCGCACGGGUGCGUAACGCGUGGGAACCUGCCCUUAGGUUCGGAAUAACUCCCCGAAAGGGGUGCUAAUACCGGAUAAUGUCUUCGGACCAAAGAUUUAUCGCCUUUGGAUGGGCCCGCGUUGGAUUAGCUAGUUGGUAGGGUAAAAGCCUACCAAGGCGACGAUCCAUAGCUGGUCUGAGAGGAUGAUCAGCCACACUGGGACUGAGACACGGCCCAGACUCCUACGGGAGGCAGCAGUGGGGAAUAUUGGACAAUGGGCGAAAGCCUGAUCCAGCAAUGCCGCGUGAGUGAUGAAGGCCUUAGGGUUGUAAAGCUCGUUUAACCGGGAUGAUAAUGACAGUAACGGGAGAAUAAGCUACGGCUAACUCCGUG
This 433-nucleotide ribosomal RNA is filed under the name uncultured bacterium. Its description in RNAcentral is "partial 16S ribosomal RNA". It matches the Rfam family "Bacterial small subunit ribosomal RNA", at positions 29 to 507 of the family's 1533-position model. The record is from RNAcentral.